UGUCGGGUAGCUCAGCUGGCAGAGCGGCGCCCUGUUAAGGCGAUGGUCGCAGGUUCGAUCCCUGCCCUGACAGCCA
This 76-nucleotide transfer RNA is filed under the name Patescibacteria group bacterium. RNAcentral's name for it is "tRNA-Asn". It matches the Rfam family "tRNA". From Rfam's summary of the family: Transfer RNA (tRNA) molecules are approximately 80 nucleotides in length. Their secondary structure includes four short double-helical elements and three loops (D, anti-codon, and T loops). The record is from RNAcentral.